RNAcentral lists this ribosomal RNA (439 nucleotides) under uncultured bacterium. RNAcentral describes it as "partial 16S ribosomal RNA". It matches the Rfam family "Bacterial small subunit ribosomal RNA", at positions 339 to 795 of the family's 1533-position model. The record is from RNAcentral.
CUACGGGUCGCACCAGUGAGGAAUAUUGCACAAUGGGGGGAACCCUGAUGCAGCAACGCCGCGUGGAGGAUGACGCAUUUCGGUGUGUAAACUCCUCUUAUAUGUCAAGAAAAUGACGGUAGCAUAUGAAUAAGCACCGGCUAACUCCGUGCCAGCAGCCGCGGUAAUACGGAGGGUGCAAGCGUUACUCGGAAUCACUGGGCGUAAAGGACGCGUAGGCGGGUUGGAAAGUCAGGUGUGAAAUCCUACAGCUUAACUGUAGAACUGCACUUGAAACUUCUAAUCUAGAGUAUGGGAGGGGGAGAUGGAAUUAGUGGUGUAGGGGUAAAAUCCGUAGAUAUCACUAGGAAUACCUAAAGCGAAGGCGAUCUCCUGGAACAUUACUGACGCCAAGGCGUGAAAGCGUGGGGAGCAAACAGGAUUAGAUACCCUUGUAGUC